GACGUAGGGCGCGAGCGUUGUCCGGAUUUAUUGGGCGUAAAGGGCGCGUAGGCGGCCCCGCAAGUCGACUGUGAAAUCUCCGGGCUUAACUCGGAAAGGUCAGCCGAUACUGCGGGGCUAGAGUGCAGAAGGGGCAACUGGAAUUCUCGGUGUAGCGGUGAAAUGCGUAGAUAUCGAGAGGAACACCUGCGGCGAAGGCGGGUUGCUGGGCUGACACUGACGCUGAUGCGCGAAAGCUAGGGGAGCGAACGGG
Molecule: ribosomal RNA, 253 nt
Filed under: uncultured bacterium
Lineage: Bacteria
Description: partial 16S ribosomal RNA
Rfam family: Bacterial small subunit ribosomal RNA
Source: RNAcentral